Long non-coding RNA from Asparagus officinalis (garden asparagus), 622 nucleotides. RefSeq lists it as uncharacterized. The transcript has 4 exons. The record is from RefSeq and is a predicted model, not a curated record. NCBI's taxonomy places the organism in Eukaryota, Viridiplantae, Streptophyta, Magnoliopsida, Asparagales, Asparagaceae.
AUCUUUUUAGCUUCAGAUUGCAACCCUCGGUCACUGACAAAGCAUAUACCAAACCUGGCAUCCUCAAGAAAUGCCCCCCUAAUCUCCAUCAAAGAUAACAAAGGAGGGUCCAUAAGGUUAGGUGAAUUGGUGAGCCUAAAAACAGCUGUGGCUAUUGGAAUAAAGCAGAGGUCAGAGGAAGCAGUAUCAACACGACAGUAAAUGAACAUAUCUGAUGCCCUUUCUUAGUGUAGUGGGGGAGGUCACUUGUCCACUGUGUAGCUGGAGUAAUUUAUCAGAGUUUGACUAUUUAUCACAAUUUGAUUUUUGGACAGCAUAAAAGCAGGCUGCGUAAACACAACAUGGCACAAAGUAAAGAAAAACUCAGAAGCCACUCAAAGCAAACGCCAACCUCAGCCUGGCUCCUCAACAGUUCAUUAUCUCUCUUUUUCUUUCUUCUUUUUAUCUGUCCUCUUUCUAAUUAAAGGUAGUAUUUUAUUUGGUUUGUUUUAACCGAACAGGUCAAUUUCAAGCUGUUAAGAAUGAGACAAGCUUGGUGAUCUCCUAAAAAAUCUCCGCAGGAGCAUAGAGUUGGAAAAAGCUAGGAAAGGGGAGGAAUUGCCAGAUAAAAUUUGGAUGAAGG